AACAGAAGAGGAAGCCGGAGAAAC
RNAcentral lists this unclassified non-coding RNA (24 nucleotides) under Arabidopsis thaliana (thale cress). The record is from RNAcentral. Lineage: Eukaryota; Viridiplantae; Streptophyta; Magnoliopsida; Brassicales; Brassicaceae.